RNAcentral lists this ribosomal RNA (253 nucleotides) under uncultured bacterium. RNAcentral describes it as "partial 16S ribosomal RNA". It matches the Rfam family "Bacterial small subunit ribosomal RNA", at positions 524 to 776 of the family's 1533-position model. The record is from RNAcentral.
UACAGAGGUCUCAAGCGUUGUUCGGAUUCAUUGGGCGUAAAGGGUGCGUAGGCGGCGCGGUAAGUCGGGUGUGAAAUCUCGGAGCUUAACUCCGAAACUGCAUUCGAUACUGCCGUGCUUGAGGACUGGAGAGGAGACUGGAAUUCCUGGUGUAGCAGUGAAAUGCGUAGAUAUCAGGAGGAAUACCGAUGGCGAAGGCAGGUCUCUGGGCUGACACUGACGCUCAUGCACGAAAGCGUGGGGAGCAAACAGG